CUUGUUCGAUUUUAUGCAUUUUUAUUUAAAAAGAUUAAAAAAAAUAUAAAAAAGUUUUAUGGUAUAUAUUUUUGCUCCAUUUUAUUUCAAAUAAUUAUAAUAGCUCAGCUGAUGAGAGUUUAAGUAUGAAGAGUGGCAAACAUAGGGUCCUAGGUUUGAAUUAUGUUGGGACAUUUUAUUAAUUUUUAUUUCUUCUCAUUUUUCUUAUUUUAGUUCAUUUUCUAUUCUUCUUCUUUUUAUUUAUUUACUAUUAUAACUAUUAUUAUUAUAUUUUGAUAUUAUUAGUAACAUUAGGUACUGUUAUUAUUAUUAAAAGAAAA
RNAcentral lists this long non-coding RNA (320 nucleotides) under Lathyrus oleraceus (garden pea). Its description in RNAcentral is "Pisum sativum (pea) long non-coding RNA (PSAT_LNC034144)". Lineage: Eukaryota; Viridiplantae; Streptophyta; Magnoliopsida; Fabales; Fabaceae. The record is from RNAcentral.